This 510-nucleotide ribosomal RNA is filed under the name uncultured bacterium. Its description in RNAcentral is "partial 16S ribosomal RNA". It matches the Rfam family "Bacterial small subunit ribosomal RNA", at positions 28 to 507 of the family's 1533-position model. The record is from RNAcentral.
GACGAACGCUGGCGGCGUGCUUAACACAUGCAAGUCGAACGAAGAGCGAUGGAAGCUUGCUUCUAUCAAUCUUAGUGGCGACCGUGUGAGUAACGCGUAAUCAACCUGCCCUUCAGAGGGGGACCACAGUUGGAAACGACUGCUAAUACCGCAUACGAUCUAAUCUCGGCAUCGAGGAUAGAUGAAAGGUGGCCUCUACAUGUAAGCUAUCACUGAAGGAGGGGAUUGCGUCUGAUUAGCUAGUUGGAGGGGGAACGGCCCCCCCAGGCGAUGCUCAGUAGCCGGUCUGAGAGGAUGAACGGCCACAAUGGGACCGAGACACGGCCCAGACUCCUACGGGAGGGAGCAGUGGGGAAUCUUCCGCAAUGGACGAAAGUCUGACGGAGCAACGCCGCGGGAGUGAUGACGGCCUUCGGGUUGUAAAGCUCGGUUAAUCGGGACGAAAGGCCUUCUUGCGAACAGUUAGAAGGAUUGACGGUACCGGAAUAGAAAGCCACGGCUAACUACGUG